This 28-nucleotide non-coding RNA is filed under the name Mus musculus (house mouse). The record is from RNAcentral. Lineage: Eukaryota; Metazoa; Chordata; Mammalia; Rodentia; Muridae.
UUAAAGGUCAGAAGCUAGGCACAGCCUC